AGGGUGUAAACGCUGCAGACUUGGUGUUGGAAGCCCUUUGGGGGCAUUCAGUGCCGGAGAGAAGUUGUUAAGUCUGCUACUUGGGAGUACGUCCGCAAGGAUGAAACUUAAAGGAAUUGGCGGGGAGCACCGCAACGGGAGGAGCGUGCGGUUUAAUUGGAUUCAACACCGUAAAACUCACCAGGGAAGACUGUUACAUGAAGGCCGAGAUGAAGACUCUGCUAGAUUUUCAGAGAGGUGGUGCAUGGCGUCAGUGACU
Molecule: ribosomal RNA, 259 nt
Filed under: uncultured archaeon
Lineage: Archaea
Description: partial 16S ribosomal RNA
Rfam family: Archaeal small subunit ribosomal RNA
Source: RNAcentral